Molecule: ribosomal RNA, 327 nt
Filed under: Escherichia sp. E4702
Lineage: Bacteria; Pseudomonadati; Pseudomonadota; Gammaproteobacteria; Enterobacterales; Enterobacteriaceae
Description: partial 23S ribosomal RNA
Rfam family: Bacterial large subunit ribosomal RNA
Source: RNAcentral
GUCGUGAGACAGGUUCGGUCCCUAUCUGCCGUGGGCGCUGGAGAACGUGAGGGGGGCUGCUCCUAGUACGAGAGGACCGGAGUGGACGCAUCACUGGUGUUCGGGUUGUCAUGCCAAUGGCACUGCCCGGUAGCUAAAUGCGGAAGAGAUAAGUGCUGAAAGCAUCUAAGCACGAAACUUGCCCCGAGAUGAGUUCUCCCUGAGACUUUAAGUCUCCUGAAGGAACGUUGAAGACGACGACGUUGAUAGGCCGGGUGUGUAAGCGCAGCGAUGCGUUGAGCUAACCGGUACUAAUGAACCGUGAGGCUUAACCUUACAACGCCGAAG